GGCGCAUCUGGAGUCUGUCCCUUUUUGUUCAGAUGUGUUCGGAGUUUCUUCCUUCUGGUGGGUUCGUGGUCUCGCUGGCUCAGGAGUGAAGCUGCAGACCUUCACGGUUGAGUGUUACAGCUCUUAACGCAGCGCUUGUGGAAUUGUUCGUUCCUCCCGGUGGGCUCGUGGUCUGGCUGGGCUCAGAAAUGAAGCUGCAGAUUUUCACGCUUCCAGAAGGAUAAAAAAGGAAGAAGCAAAAAGCCACUUAUACCUCUGUUUCCAAAACAUGAUGUCACUAUAAUGAAGACAAGCAACAGGACCACAGAGAGAUGCCUUCAUUCAGCCUCAAGAAAUUCUAGAAGAAAACAGAAGAUGACACAUGUGGAUUGGUCCUCAUGCAUCCUGAUGGCCAGCUUCUGGCACAAACACUGAUUUUUAUUUGGCACCUAACUCACUGUCAGUUCAUAGGACCUGAAUGUGACCCAUGGGUUAACUAAUCACUAUGUUGCAUUUUCCCUGUCCACAAAUGAAGGUGGCUAGUAACUCAAGCUGGUCAAAUCAGAGUGACUCUCACAGCAUGCUGCCAGGAAAGUUACUUGUGUGCUGCAGACUUAAAUGUUGCUGACGCUCAUGCUGCUGCAGCCAUCCUGCCACUAUGAAGACACUGUCUCGGCUGAAGCCAGGCUAGGGGGCAGACGAAGCCUUGAGGUAGAGAAAUUUUGAGUACUGAUGACAUUAUUUGAGGCCCUAGACCAGAUUAUGGCUAAAUCUAGUCCUAUUUCAACCUUUUGAGUAAUACUGUGUUUUUAUUAUGCCACUUGGGGUAAAUUACAAGGAAGUGUUUUAGCUGUUACAGUAACAAAAAAAAAUAAGCAUCAGAGCCAUGCUGAUAGAUCAGCUCCAAUGAAUCUAGUGUUUCAUUAGGAGAAGGAAACAAAGAGACUACCCAGUCUAGAGUUUCUUCCUUCUGGCGGGUUCUUGGUCUCGCUGACUUCAAGAAGGAAGCCACAGCUCUUCGUGGUGAGUGUUACAGCUCUUAAAAGUGGCACAGCCCCAAAAAGUAACCAACAGCAAAAUUUAUCAUGAACAGCAAAAGAACAAAGCCCCCACAAGCAUAGAAGGUGACCUGACCGAGUUGCCACUGCAGGCUACUAGCCAGCUUUUAUUCCCUUAUUUGUCCCCACCCACGUCCUGCUGAUUGGUCCAUUUUACAGAGCACUGAGUGGUCCAUUUUACAGAGCACUGAUUGGUCCAUUUUACAGAGUGCUGAUUGGUCCAUUUUACAGAGUGCUGAUUGAUGCGUUUAUAAUCCUUUAGCUAGACACAGUGUGCUGAUUGGUGCGUUUUUACAGAGUGCUGACUGGGGCAUUUACAAUCCUUUACCUAGACAAGGAGUGCUGAUUGGUGCGUUUUUAGAGAGUGCUGAUUGGCACAUUUAUAAUCCUUUAGCUAGACACAGAGCACUGAUUGGUGCGUUUUUAGAGAAUGCUGAUUGGUGCAUUUACAAUCCUUUAGCUAGACACAGAGUGCUGAUUGUUGCAUUUUUACAAAGUGCUGAUUGGUGCAUUUAUAAUCCCCUAACUAGACCCAGAGCACCGAUUGGUGUGUUUACAAUCCUCUAGCUAGACAGAAAAGUUCUCCAAAUCCCCACUCGACCCAGGAAGUCCCGCUGGCUUCACCUCUCACUACCACAAAUAAAGAACUAGCAUAAGCCAAACAUUUUAUAUUUAUUAAAACCUCUUUCCCUUCUGGGUUACAAUAUUAGUAUUUUGCUCCUAUUUCUGACCUUCAGAGUAAUAAUUAUAGAUCUGAGCUGCCCGGGGUUUGCCUGUAUCCUCCCUAGAUUAUAACAUUUUGUAUUCCUUUAUAUUUAGAUUUACUUUUUAGGCUAAUCUUAUGACACAUAGUGACACUCAGAAGCUCAGUGUUUACUAUUUGUCUUAUAAAGAAAUGAAAGCUCCAUUCAUAUGCAACUGUUCCAACUGUGUCCAGGUAUACUCAUUCAUGUAGUCAAUAAACAGUUAGUGGGAAGCCUCUCUAUUCUAGGCACUGUUGUCUGUACCGGAGACACAGCAGUGAGCAGAUAGGCAGACAUGCCUCCUCUUGAGGAGAUCAUAUGCUAGAGGAGGAGAUGGAUGAUACACAAGAAAAACACAUGAAAUUUAAGUAUGUUAGAUAGUGAAUUCCAUGAAAGGGAUCCCUGAGAUGGGUAGGGGCAUGGGUUACAACUUUACAUAAAGGGGACUGGGGAAGCCUCAUCAGGAAGGUGACAUUUAAGUAGAGACCUUAAUUAAGGAGGUCAGAAAGAAGAAACAUUGUAAGCAGAGAGAGUACAGAUGCAAAGGUCCUGUGGUGACAGCAUGCUGUGGACACUGUGUGUGCUCUAGGAACAGCAGGGAAGCCGCAUCAGUGGACCAGACAGAGUGAGGAGAGGGAACAGCAAUAAGAGGUCAGAUCAGAGAGUAUAUGGUGGAAAGUGAGUGGUGAAAGAAGGUAGCAGAUCCAGUAAAGCCAUACAGGCUAUAUGGAUCCAGGCUCUUUGUUUGUCUGUUUCCUUAAUGCGUAAAAAACAUUGGAAGUUAUAAGCCAAAGUGCCAUAAUCUAACUUACAUUUUAACAGGCUUACUGUGGCAGUGUUAGAAUAGACUUGAGGUCAAGAUCAGAAGGGAGAUCACACAAAAGAAUAUGACAAUAAUCCCAGUAAGGAAUUAUAAUGGCUUGGAUGGAGGUGGCAGUGAUGGAAAGGUUAAGGAUUUAUCAGAUUCUAAUAAAGACAGUGGAUAUCGACAACAUAUUCUGAUGAAGUCCAGAUGCCAUAAUGUAGAUGGAACUUCAUGAUCCAAGUGCCCUGGUCACUCCUUGCCUCUCAUGCCACAUUCCAGCCACCUUGACCUGCCUCCAUUUCCCCUGGCACCCUGCCCUCUCGCCCUAGCAGAUGCUAACCUGCCGUCACCCGGCAGGACUCAAGCUUGAAUUCACCUCCUCCAAGGAACCUUCAAAGCCCUCAUCACACUAGUUCUAUGUUUACUUGUCUACCCCCCACCACCCCAUUACACUUCCAGCUGCUUGAAAUUCUAUUCUUUGACUUGGUCAAGGUUACGUCCUUGUGGUUUAAACAGUGCUUGCCAUAAAAUCGACACUCAUAAAUCUCUGUUUAAUGAAUGAGUGAAAUCCCAUUUUUAUUUCGUGCUUUUAAAUUUACUUAAUUGCUCUUUCCUCAUUUGUAAAAUUGAGUAAUAACUUCCUUACUAAUUUUGUUGAUGUGAAGAUGUAAGUGUCCAAGAUAGAUACAGGCAGAGAAGAGGCACACAGGCAUUUCUAUAGCUUAACUCAUGGAUUUUCAGUUUAUACAACUAAGGAAGGCUGUCCUAUUUUGGCUGACUUUCUCUGCCUUUUGAAAAAAAUGUCUCCACUUUUUAUUUAAAGUGCUACUUUACAUUUUUGAAUGCUUACUUUACCUUUUAAAAUAUUAGCCGAAGGAUAGGGAAAAGACGUUGGAUUCAGUGAGAAACAAACCAAACUUUUGCAAGAGCUUUGCUUAUUCCAACAAAAACAGUACUGUGAAUCCCCCCAAAGGGAGAGUGGGUGCUGACCUAAUCUUGUUUGCUUUCCUCUUCAGUAUUCUUCCCUACCAGCCUCCCUGGGGGCCUUAAAAGGAAUUACCAAACUGCACAAAGAACUGCCUUGAUGGUCAUGCUUACUUGGUGUUUCUGGUCUAAUGGACGAGUGAUGUUGAAAUAACAGAAAAGUGCAUUUUUUCAUUUUUAUUUUGAUAGCUUAACAUUUUUAGGAAGUUUGUCUUCCUCUCCAAAGAAGUAUCACAUAGAAACAGCAAAUUGAUUGCUUAGUAGGAAAAAAAAAUACCAUCAUACUCCCCGGGAGAAACUGAAAUGAUCAUUAAUUUAAGUAAUUGUAGCCUCUAUUUGUUGGUAUUUACUAUAUAGGCUAAACAGGCACUGGGAUGAGUGAAUAUUCUCAUUUACCACCCACUCCCCUAGAAGUCUGUGAAAUGUAUACUGGUAUUAUCACCAUUUUGCAUGUAUGGAAUAUGAAGCUUAAAGUGAUAUAGUAGUAACUUGCCUAAGGUUACAUAGCCUUCUAAGCGGCAGAACCUAUAGACUAGUGACUCCAUGAUACACAUUUCACUCAAGAAGUGCCUUUUCAUUUGUAUCUUCCCAUUUUAUGAAUCUUAUAUCAAGGCUUUCCAUAUCAUUCUUCAAUUGCUAUGGUGGGUCCUCAAGACAAAGCAAGAGGGAGAGAAAAUUAGAUAAGUCACCUUUUUAAUUUUCCUUGGUCAUCAUGUAGACCAUGCUAGAGGAAUCUUCUUAAAACACUGCUUUCCUCUGACUCCUGCACUACACAUAAAGCACUGAUAACUCUAAUUGCCAAUAGAACAUAGGUCAUAAUUCUUUGUCUGACAUUCGAGGGUCUUCACCCUCUGCCCUGGUCUUCUUAUCUGGUAUUAUUUGGGCCUUAUACUCAAGGUCACAGCAUGAGUUUCUGUACUGAAAGGCUGCUCAGCUAUAUGCAAUGAGCCUGUUUUCAAAAGGCUUGAGCGCAAGUCCAUCUGUCUGCUCUCCAUUUUUUAAAUAUCCCUUGGGCUCUCUAAUUCCAUUCCCAUUUCAUCUCUCUUGAAUGCCUCCCUCUAUAAUUUGCCUAUUGAGAUCCUAUCAUAUUCAAAUGACUGCUCAAGCUAUUCAUCUUUAAUCAUGUCUUUCUGAAGCAAUUUCUCUUUUGUUCCACAUUCGAAAAAAAUUUACUCUGAACCAUAUAUUCAUGGUGCUACUCCCAUAUUGAUUUGAAUAGUAAC
This 4792-nucleotide long non-coding RNA is filed under the name Homo sapiens (human). RNAcentral describes it as "HSALNT0101027". The record is from RNAcentral. Lineage: Eukaryota; Metazoa; Chordata; Mammalia; Primates; Hominidae.